GUCUACAGCCAUGCCACCCUGAGCAAGCCGGAUCCCAUCUGAUCUCGGAAGCUAAGUAGGAUCGGGCCUGCUUAGUGCUUGGGUGGGAGACCACCUAGGAAGACCAGGUGCUGUAGGUG
Molecule: ribosomal RNA, 119 nt
Filed under: Pteropus alecto (black flying fox)
Lineage: Eukaryota; Metazoa; Chordata; Mammalia; Chiroptera; Pteropodidae
Source: RNAcentral